AUAAGAGGUUCCGCCUGCCCUGUGACAAAAAGUUUAACGGCCGCGGUAUUUUGACCGUGCAAAGGUAGCGCAAUCACUUGUCUUUUAAAUGAAGACCUGUAUGAAUGGCAUAACGAGGGCUUUACUGUCUCCUUUUUCAAGUCAAUGAAAUUGAUCUCUCCGUGCAGAAGCGGGGAUAUAACCAUAAGACGAGAAGACCCUAUGGAGCUUUAGACACCAAAGCAGAUCUUGUUAAGAACACUUAAAUAAAAGACUAAACCAAAAGAAACCUGCCCUAAUGUCUUUGGUUGGGGCGACCGCGGGGAAACAAAAAACCCCCAUGUGGACUGAGAAUACCUUUCUCAAAACCAAGAGCCACAGCUCUAAUUAACAGAACUUCUGACCUUAAGAUCCGGCAUGCCGAUCAACGGACCGAGUUACCCUAGGGAUAACAGCGCAAUCCUCUUUUAGAGCCCAUAUCGACAAGGGGGUUUACGACCUCGAUGUUGGAUCAGGACAUCCUAAUGGUGCAGCCGCUAUUAAGGGUUCGUUUGUUCAACGAUUAAAGUCCUACGUGAUC
RNAcentral lists this ribosomal RNA (559 nucleotides) under Trichopodus pectoralis (snakeskin gourami). RNAcentral describes it as "partial 16S large subunit ribosomal RNA". It matches the Rfam family "Bacterial large subunit ribosomal RNA", at positions 1845 to 2605 of the family's 2925-position model. Lineage: Eukaryota; Metazoa; Chordata; Actinopteri; Anabantiformes; Osphronemidae. The record is from RNAcentral.